This 119-nucleotide ribosomal RNA is filed under the name Helianthus annuus (common sunflower). The record is from RNAcentral. Lineage: Eukaryota; Viridiplantae; Streptophyta; Magnoliopsida; Asterales; Asteraceae.
GGUUGCGAUCAUACCAGCAAUAAUGCACCGGAUCCCAUCAGAACUCCGCAGUUAAGCGUGCUUGGGCGAGAGUAGUAUUAGGAUGGGUGACCCCCUGGGAAGUCCUCGUGUUGCAACCC